RNAcentral lists this ribosomal RNA (274 nucleotides) under uncultured bacterium. RNAcentral describes it as "partial 16S ribosomal RNA". It matches the Rfam family "Bacterial small subunit ribosomal RNA", at positions 523 to 796 of the family's 1533-position model. The record is from RNAcentral.
AUACGGAGGGUGCAAACGUUAAUCGGAAUUACUGGGCGUAAAGCGCGCGUAGGUGGUUUAGUAAGUCGGAUGUGAAAGCCCUGGGCUCAACCCAGGAAUUGCAUUCGAUACUGCAGAACUAGAGUAUGGUAGAGGGAAGUGGGAUUUCCGGUGUAGCGGUGAAAUGCGUAGAUAUCGGAAGGAACACCAGUGGCGAAGGCGACUUCCUGGGCCAAUACUGACGCUGAGGUGCGAAAGCGUGGGGAGCAAACAGGAUUAGAAACCCGGGUAGUCC